This 19-nucleotide non-coding RNA is filed under the name Mus musculus (house mouse). Lineage: Eukaryota; Metazoa; Chordata; Mammalia; Rodentia; Muridae. The record is from RNAcentral.
CACAGACAUACAGGCAAAA